AUAUUUAGUUGUGCGUGAUAGCCUAUUUUUUUACAAGGAAGGAGGGAAAAGGAUGAAAAAGGCUUAUAAGAAACCUCGUCUUUUUGAACUGCGCCGUGCUGUAGCAGCUGGCGGCCAUUAAUCUCAUAUAGCAUUUGACAUCUAGUACUCUAUUUUAGGAGGGAUGCUCAAUGAAAAAAGCUUAUAAGAAACCUCGCCUUUUUGAACUGCGCCGUGCUGUAGCAGCUGGCGGCCAUUAAUCUCAUAUAGCAUUUGACAUCUAGUACUCUAUUUUAGGAGGGAUGCUCAAUGAAAAAAGCUUAUAAGAAACCUCGCCUUUUUGAAUUGCGCCGCGCUGUAGCAGCUGGCGGUCAUUAAUCUUAUCCAAAACGAUUAACGUUUGAGGCUAUCACGCCAACUUGAUAAGGAGGAUG
Molecule: unclassified non-coding RNA, 413 nt
Filed under: Bacillus subtilis subsp. subtilis str. 168
Lineage: Bacteria; Bacillati; Bacillota; Bacilli; Caryophanales; Bacillaceae
Description: putative small RNA or mRNA leader sequence
Source: RNAcentral